This 496-nucleotide ribosomal RNA is filed under the name uncultured bacterium. RNAcentral's name for it is "partial 16S ribosomal RNA". It matches the Rfam family "Bacterial small subunit ribosomal RNA", at positions 28 to 507 of the family's 1533-position model. The record is from RNAcentral.
GACGAACGCUGGCGGCGUGCCUAAUACAUGCAAGUAGAACGCUGAAGAGAGGAGCUUGCUCUUCUUGGAUGAGUUGCGAACGGGUGAGUAACGCGUAGGUAACCUGCCUUGUAGCGGGGGAUAACUAUUGGAAACGAUAGCUAAUACCGCAUAACAAUGGAUGACACAUGUCAUUUAUUUGAAAGGGGCAAUUGCUCCACUACAAGAUGGACCUGCGUUGUAUUAGCUAGUAGGUGAGGUAAUGGCUCACCUAGGCGACGAUACAUAGCCGACCUGAGAGGGUGAUCGGCCACACUGGGACUGAGACACGGCCCAGACUCCUACGGGAGGCAGCAGUAGGGAAUCUUCGGCAAUGGGGGCAACCCUGACCGAGCAACGCCGCGUGAGUGAAGAAGGUUUUCGGAUCGUAAAGCUCUGUUGUAAGUCAAGAACGGGUGUGAGAGUGGAAAGUUACACUGUGACGGUAGCUUACCAGAAAGGGACGGCUAACUACGUG